GCCUAGCCGUAAACAAUUAAUUUACACCUAUCAGCGCCAGGGAACUACGAGCAAUGCUUAAAACCCAAAGGAUUUGACGGUGUCCCACCCAGCUAGAGGAGCCUGUUCUAUAAUCGAUGAUCCCCGCUACACCCGACCAUUUUUAGCUCAUCAGUCUGUAUACCUCCGUCGAAAGCUUACCAUGUGAACGCCCUUCAGUAGGCUCAAUGAUCUUAUGCACAUCAACACGUCAGGUCAAGGUGCAGCUUAAGAAAUGGGAAGCAAUUGGCUACAAUUUCUAAUCUAGAACAAACGAAAGGCUAUGUGAAAUCAUAGCCACGAAGGUGGAUUUAGUAGUAAAAAGAAAAUAGAGUGUUCUUUUUAACCCGGCUCUGGGACGUGUACACACCGCCCGUCACCCUCUUCGAUAGUUCAUAAUUCUGUUCCUAACCCAUUGUUACAUUUUAGAAGAGGCAAGUCGAAACACGGUAAGUGUACUGGAAAGUGCACUUGGAAAAUAA
RNAcentral lists this ribosomal RNA (500 nucleotides) under Lithobates sphenocephalus (southern leopard frog). RNAcentral describes it as "Rana sphenocephala (southern leopard frog) partial 12S ribosomal RNA". It matches the Rfam family "Bacterial small subunit ribosomal RNA", at positions 794 to 1533 of the family's 1533-position model. The record is from RNAcentral. Lineage: Eukaryota; Metazoa; Chordata; Amphibia; Anura; Ranidae.